RNAcentral lists this ribosomal RNA (450 nucleotides) under uncultured bacterium. Its description in RNAcentral is "bacterial SSU rRNA". It matches the Rfam family "Bacterial small subunit ribosomal RNA", at positions 354 to 796 of the family's 1533-position model. The record is from RNAcentral.
GUGGGGAAUAUUGGACAAUGGGCGCAAGCCUGAUCCAGCCAUGCCGCGUGUGUGAAGAAGGCCUUCGGGUUGUAAAGCACUUUUGUUGGGGAAGAAAAGACCGUGGUUAAUAACCGUGGUUCAUGACGGUACCCAAAGAAUAAGCACCGGCUAACUUCGUGCCAGCAGCCGCGGUAAUACGAAGGGUGCAAGCGUUACUCGGAAUUACUGGGCGUAAAGCGUGCGUAGGCGGUUUGUUAAGUCUGUCGUGAAAGCCCCGGGCUCAACCUGGGAAUGGCGGUGGAUACUGGCAGGCUAGAGUACGGUAGAGGAUGGUGGAAUUCCCGGUGUAGCAGUGAAAUGCGUAGAGAUCGGGAGGAACAUCUAUGGCGAAGGCAGCCAUCUGGACCAGUACUGACGCUGAGGCACGAAAGCGUGGGGAGCAAACAGGAUUAGAUACCCGGGUAGUCC